AAGUCGUAACAAGGUUUCCGUAGGUGAACCUGCGGAAGGAUCAUUAACACGUAUCCAACGUUAAACCCCCCGUGAACCUUCAGAGCGUUCUUGCCGCCCGUGACAAUCAGCAAUCCUGGUAAAUCAAGUGGGAAUAUCCGUAUUGAUUCAGGACCUCUGCUGUCAUGUGUUAGGGAAACCAUAGCGGCAAUUGAGAGCUUUUAUCGUUAGUUUGGCGUCCUGGCCGGGCGAGUGAAAGUGUCGCUAGACGGUUUCUAGGGUAAGGCUUCGCCAUCGCUGGAGGCUCACCACGUAGCCGGCGGACAAACUACAGGGCUAUAUGCCCCCUAAUGACGACCAAGUUAAAUAGGGCCUCUGUCACAUAGCAAGUGCGCCGUGCCAGAGGAAAAGUACAACUGUUAACAAUGGAUAUCUUGGUUCUC
This 422-nucleotide unclassified non-coding RNA is filed under the name fungal sp. Its description in RNAcentral is "partial internal transcribed spacer region". The stretch from base 1 to 46 matches the Rfam family "Eukaryotic small subunit ribosomal RNA", at positions 1786 to 1831 of the family's 1831-position model. Lineage: Eukaryota; Fungi. The record is from RNAcentral.